Molecule: ribosomal RNA, 107 nt
Filed under: Lepisosteus oculatus (spotted gar)
Lineage: Eukaryota; Metazoa; Chordata; Actinopteri; Semionotiformes; Lepisosteidae
Source: RNAcentral
UCCAGCAGCCAUAUCACAGGUGGCAGCCCACUGAAGCUCAGCAGGUGUGAGCCUGGACAGUACCUGGAUGGGAGACCUCCUGGGAAAAACUAAGGUUGCUGCUGGAA